GACGAACGCUGGCGGCGUGCUUAACACAUGCAAGUCGAACGGAAAGGCCCUGCUUUUGUGGGGUGCUCGAGUGGCGAACGGGUGAGUAACACGUGAGUAACCUGCCCUUGACUUUGGGAUAACUUCAGGAAACUGGGGCUAAUACCGGAUAGGAGCUCCUGCUGCAUGGUGGGGGUUGGAAAGUUUCGGCGGUUGGGGAUGGACUCGCGGCUGAGCGGCGGGGUGGUGGGGGAGUGGCGUACCAAGGCGUUGACGGGUCGCCGGCCGGGGAGGGGGACCGGCGACAGGGGGAGUGAGAGACGGCCCAGACUCCGACGGGAGGCAGCAGUGGGGAAUAUUGCACAAUGGGCGGAAGCCUGAUGCAGCAACGCCGCGUGCGGGAUGACGGCCUUCGGGUUGUAAACCGCUUUCGCCUGUGACGAAGCGUGAGUGACGGUAAUGGGUAAAGAAGCACCGGCUAACUACGUG
Molecule: ribosomal RNA, 468 nt
Filed under: uncultured bacterium
Lineage: Bacteria
Description: partial 16S ribosomal RNA
Rfam family: Bacterial small subunit ribosomal RNA
Source: RNAcentral